UGUGACGUCGUGGAUGUGACAAGUAAUUAUGCUUGCUAGCUACAACUUGAGACCCGUUUUUUAUUACAUUUUGAUGAAUUAGCAACGUUAAAAGUAUGCCGUAUUCGCCAUUAGUAGUUCAUGUUUGCGUCGUACUCGUGGAUUUACAGUAAACUAGCACUGGAUUACUUUGAUGCUGAAGAAACCGUAAAAACGUGAUGAUUCUCAAGCAAGUUCUGGGUCUUUCUAUUCAAGACUUGAUGGCUGUAUGUCAAUGAGUUGAACAGUGUGCAGACACAGGCUGGUUGGACUUGUUGAGCCAGCGGUUGAUCCGGUCCGACAUCCCUGAUUUGAAGCUCCUAAAUUCCUGUGAAUUUCCGACAGAGAUAUGAAAUGUACCUGUCUGGACACUCCCGGGCUAGUGGGGCUCGCUGCCUGCUGCUCCUUCUCAAAGAGGCCUCUCU
Long non-coding RNA from Centropristis striata (black sea bass), 443 nucleotides. RefSeq lists it as uncharacterized. The record is from RefSeq and is a predicted model, not a curated record. The transcript is spliced from 4 exons. Lineage: Eukaryota; Metazoa; Chordata; Actinopteri; Perciformes; Serranidae.